UGUGGUCUAACAUGUUUUGGAAAUCUAAAUGUUUCUUCUUUGUGGUGUUCUUUAGGUGCUCACGUGAUGGUGCUCACAGGUGCGGUAUUGCAAUGGUCAGCGGCAACAUUCCAUGCCGUGUGCAGAUCAAAAAUCUCCAGCACCUAUCAGUUGGUUCCCUCGAGCCCCAGCGUCAACUCUCUAGAGCAAUCAACAGUGUCCUAUGUUCAUGUGUUUCUGCCUUUUUGUUCUCACCUUGGCUGGUCCGUAACAAAACUCAAUACCUAAUGAUGAACACUUAAGGUAACCCUUGCCACCAUUGAGGAAUAAAAUAAUGAAGAUCGAUAGUGAUUCACAUGCUUUUGAUAUUGAACAUUAAUUAUUUUACUAUAUGCAUUUCCUAUAAAUUUCCUUACUGAUCAAUGCUAAAUCUUUCUCUCUGAAGGCCUCUUAUUAACACCUUUUAAGAUCAA
Molecule: long non-coding RNA, 452 nt
Organism: Lolium rigidum
Lineage: Eukaryota; Viridiplantae; Streptophyta; Magnoliopsida; Poales; Poaceae
Exons: 3
Source: RefSeq, a predicted model, not a curated record